Molecule: ribosomal RNA, 340 nt
Filed under: Dolichopus trivialis
Lineage: Eukaryota; Metazoa; Arthropoda; Insecta; Diptera; Dolichopodidae
Description: partial 12S ribosomal RNA
Source: RNAcentral
AAAAUUGUACAAUUAUUAAACCUGAGUAGUAUUAGUUAGGAUCUUGAAACUCAAAAAAUUUGGCGGUAUUUUAGUCUAUUUAGAGGAACCUGUAGUAUAAUCGAUAAUCCACGAUGGACCUCACUUAAUUUUGUUUUUCAGUUUGUAUACCGCUGUUAUUUGAAGAUUUUAUAAGAAUAUUAAUUUUCAUAAUUUUAAAUUAAAAAAUAUAUCAGGUCAAGGUGCAGCUUAUGAUUAAGAAUUUAUGGGUUACAAUAAAAUUAUUUAUACGAAUAAAUAUAUGAAAUUAUAUUUUGAAGGCGGAUUUAAUAGUAAAUUUUUAAAGAUAAAAUAAUUGAUU